Molecule: long non-coding RNA, 635 nt
Filed under: Vigna radiata
Lineage: Eukaryota; Viridiplantae; Streptophyta; Magnoliopsida; Fabales; Fabaceae
Description: long non-coding RNA (VRAD_LNC011596)
Source: RNAcentral
CCACCUUCCAAGGCACACUUCCUCAUUCUCAUUUUCCAUUCCAAGUGCUUCUCUCUCAUCAGACGUCAAACAGCAUCAGCCAUGCGUUGCCUGACCAGUGGCACCAUUCUUCAUCAGCCACUCCUCUGCUGACACGUCGUUGCUCACGCGUCAGCCUCCUGAAUUCAUUCUCGCCUCCUUCCACAACGAAAUUCAUUACUCACAUUUUUUCACAUAUCAAAAACCUCCUCUGCUCCUCUACUAGGGUUUCCUUUCAAGCGCGUCAUCUCCAUUGUAAGUCAAACUCCACUCUCGUUUUCUUACUGCCAUUGACAUUUCUACCGAUUGAAACAUCAUCUUCCCCACUUUCUACCAGAUAAACACCUUUCCACCAUUUCCACCGAUCAAAAACCCUAUUUCACCGUUCAAAGUCCUUUUCACCUAUUGAUUUCCAUUUUCCACCGAUUGAUCCAUCCUUUGCUCCGAUUUACUACCUUUCUACCGUUUAAUCUGUGUUUUGAACCGAUUAAUCGGUUCAUUUUGCGUCUCUCCCCAUUUCUACGGUUCAACCGGUCCAGAUUAGGGUUCGUUCAUGAUUUUAGGGUUUCUUGUGUUCGUUUCUGAUAUCCUCUCGGCCUAGAGCUUUCUUUGUCAUU